UAGCUCAGUGGUAGAGUGCAUGCUUUGUAUGCAUGAGGACCUGGAUUCAAUCUCUAG
RNAcentral lists this transfer RNA (57 nucleotides) under Heterocephalus glaber (naked mole-rat). It matches the Rfam family "tRNA", at positions 8 to 63 of the family's 71-position model. Rfam says of the family: Transfer RNA (tRNA) molecules are approximately 80 nucleotides in length. Their secondary structure includes four short double-helical elements and three loops (D, anti-codon, and T loops). Lineage: Eukaryota; Metazoa; Chordata; Mammalia; Rodentia; Bathyergidae. The record is from Rfam by way of RNAcentral.